Molecule: non-coding RNA, 207 nt
Filed under: Caedimonas varicaedens
Lineage: Bacteria; Pseudomonadati; Pseudomonadota; Alphaproteobacteria; Holosporales; Caedimonadaceae
Source: RNAcentral
UAUAUGUAGUGUUUUUACGGUGCAUCAAAGGGAUGACCUGCGAUGCUUAAAAGGGAAUUCGGUGCGAAGCAUAUUUCAAUACCGGAGCUGCCCCCGCAACUGUAAGCGGCGCGUUACUUGAUCAUGAUGUCACUGGGAAACUGGGAAGACGGAUCAGGCUGACAAUAAGCCACAAGCCAGGAGACCUGCCGGAAAACAAUUCGCAAC